GGAGGCUGGUCACCGUCGGGAAGCAGGGGGCACGUCGCGCCACCACACGGUCCUUGCGGUAUCGGAUCUGCAGAUGGGAGCCAGGUCAGGGGAGUGGAACAGGGAACAGAUUGAACUUGACCCUCACGGUAGAGGCAGCCACUGCCGUGUGUCACACAGCAGAGGGAGCUGGGUCAACAAGAACAGAACUGGGGGAUAAUGGAUAACGUU
Molecule: long non-coding RNA, 210 nt
Filed under: Homo sapiens (human)
Lineage: Eukaryota; Metazoa; Chordata; Mammalia; Primates; Hominidae
Description: HSALNT0255224
Source: RNAcentral